RNAcentral lists this unclassified non-coding RNA (197 nucleotides) under uncultured Eurotiomycetes. RNAcentral's name for it is "sequence contains ITS2". The record is from RNAcentral. Lineage: Eukaryota; Fungi; Ascomycota; Eurotiomycetes.
CAACCUUCAAGCACGGCUUGUGUGUUGAGCGGUCUGUUCUUGAUGAACAGGGCUCGAAAUGCAGCGGCGAUGGUGAGAUUGGUGCCCGAGCGUAUGGGGCUUUGUCACACGCUCUGGUGGCUCCAGCUUGCAGUCUGCCCAAACGGUGUAUAUAUAUGCUCUGUAUAUACUCUGUAUAUAUAUACCCAAACCCAUCU